RNAcentral lists this transfer RNA (63 nucleotides) under Iolania perkinsi. RNAcentral's name for it is "tRNA-His". Lineage: Eukaryota; Metazoa; Arthropoda; Insecta; Hemiptera; Cixiidae. The record is from RNAcentral.
GCUUUCUUAGUUUAUAUUAAAAUUUCAUUUUGUGAUGAUGAAGAAUUUUUUUAAAAGUAGGCA